AACCCGGUCAGGUCCGGAAGGAAGCAGCCGCAGCAUCCGAAUCGGGUGCCGGGGUCGGGCAGGCUGGC
Molecule: signal recognition particle RNA, 68 nt
Filed under: Gammaproteobacteria bacterium
Lineage: Bacteria; Pseudomonadati; Pseudomonadota; Gammaproteobacteria
Description: partial signal recognition particle sRNA small type
Rfam family: Bacterial small signal recognition particle RNA
About the family: The signal recognition particle (SRP) is a universally conserved ribonucleoprotein involved in the co-translational targeting of proteins to membranes.
Source: RNAcentral